Molecule: non-coding RNA, 2492 nt
Organism: Podarcis lilfordi (Lilford's wall lizard)
Lineage: Eukaryota; Metazoa; Chordata; Lepidosauria; Squamata; Lacertidae
Source: the annotation of a GenBank genome assembly
ACUCCCCUUUUCCUUUAGUGGAUCAGGAGAGCGGCGGAGGGGCUGAUCCCGGAGAUCCGGCUGCAAAGUGGGGUCCCCCCCCCACAAGUUCAACAUCCUCCCCUCCCCCACCCCACGAGCUUAGAUCCCUCCGUGUUUUAGGUCUUGGUGCUGUUCAAACCAGGAAUGGAGGGGGGCAGCUAAACGACUCCCCCCAAAUCCCAGCUCCCCACCCCAGCCUCUGACUAAGGCCAGGACAAUGACCGUGGACACAGGCACCGUCCAUGCACAACAGCCAAGAGGCUCAGCAAAGCAGCCGAUACAAUUGGAGCCAGAAGCGGAUUCCAAAAUCUGAGGGAUCCCUUGGACCAGAAACAAGGAGACCAGCCAGGAAGAGCAGAGCAAAAGAGCAGCCAGUCGGCUUGGUCUUGAUUGAAGACUGUCGCGACAGGACUCCCAGCUGCCACCAGGUGGAACAAGAUGGAAGCCCCCAACAAAAGAAGACCCCAACUUUUAUUAGCUCCGAAUCCCCCAUGCUACACCCCCAAGACUACAUCAUGACUACAUCAUGAUUACAUCAUUGACACAUCACAAAGAGGAGGGGUUCAGGGAGAAGAAGAAGAAGAGUUUGGAUUUGAUAUCCCACUUUAUCACUACCCAAAGGAGUCUCAAAGCAGCCAACUUUCUCCUUUCCCUUCCUCUCCCACAACAAACACUCUGUGAGGUGAGUGGGGCUGAGAGACCUCAGAGACGUGUGACUUCUCUGAAGGAGGAGGAGUUGUGGUGGUAACCUGAGGGUCUUGUCACCUGUCUGGUUCCUCCUUUCCCCUCCCCGUGAUUACAUUCCUGAGGGCAAAGGGGAGUUCACUGUUUCCUGCCCCAGAGGGAAGGGCUGGUCAGUGUCCUGUGUUUCAGUCCGUACUGAAUCCACUUCCAUAUGCAGGUGCUUUGUGAAUGGAAUGAUCUUCUGUCUAGGACCAUCAAGGUUGGCAUGCCAACUGGGUGGGGCUCACUGCGGACGUGUUGGCUGCCUUGUGUCAAGUCUCCCCCCUUUGAUAGUCCUUCCCUCAUGGUGCAAAUUAAAAGUCGAACGGUGCAGAUCCGAUGUACGGCUGAUUUUCUAUGAAUUUAUAACAGAAGUGUUGCCUAUGUCGUGUGUGAGUGUCGUGUUUGUACAAACUGAAUGAUUGCAACAUAUGAAUCCCAAUCCCAAAGAAGGGCAGUGCCAAAGAAUGCUCCACCUACCGUACAAUUGCACUCAUUUCACACGCUAGCAAGGUUAUGCUUAAAAUGCUAGAAGGAAGGCUCAAGCAGUAUGUGGACUGAGAACUCCCAGAAGUGCAAGCUGGAUUUAGAAGAGGCAGAGGAACCAGAGACCAAAUUGCAAACAUGUGCUGGAUUAUGGAGAAAGCUAGAGAGUUCCAGAAAGACAUCUACUUCUGCUUCAUUUAGUAUGCAAAAGCCUUUGACUGUGUGGACCACAGCAAACUAUGGCAAGUUCUUAAAGAAAUGGGAGUGCCUGAUCACCUCAUCUGUCUCCUAAGAAAUCUCUUUGUGGGACAAGAAGCUCCAGUUAGAACUGGACAUGGAACAACUGAUUGGUUCAAAAUUGGGAAAGGAGGACGACAAUACUGUCUUCCUGCUUAUUUAACAUAAAUGCAGAAUUCAUCAUGCAAAAGGCUGGGCUGGAUGAAUCAUGUAAUAAAAAAUUUAAGGUCUUGUAUAUAUAAUAAAUGUUCAUAAAUGUACCAACCAGACUACCAGGAAAGGGAAUCAGAUAAGGCAUUAUCAGAUAACCUGGCAGACAGGAAAAAUGACAACAUUCAAAUUUCUGUUGCAGACCACCUUUUCUGUGAUGCAGGUAUGAUAUUUGUGGGGGGUGGUCUGGGGUUACACCCCUUCUGUGAUGUAUGGAGGGGUCUGGAGCUCCAGGGCUUGAGCUCCCAUUCAAUUUCAGUAUUUCAAGUUUUCUUCAGAACGCGCAGGGCAGGAGGCAGCGAUGAAGUUCUGGUGAAGAAGCCGUGCUGGGAGAUCAUGCAGGGGUGUGUGUGUGUGUGACAGAGUUUGGUGCAAAAACCAAAGGUACUUUCAUCUAAAAUUAUACUCACUAUUGUGAGAUGUUCCCUUCAUUAUUUCAUUAUUAUACAGUUUUACAUAUAAACACCAGAACUUCACAUAUGCCUCAUGCUUUUAAAGUGCCCUUUCCCUGCGCCCUUUCCCUUUCCCUGGGUAGACCGGAGGAGCUAGUAGCAUAUUUUAUGAAUGAACAGACUAUUUGCCUACGGCGGUGUCCUGACCAAUCAGCCUGCACCGAGCGCAGCCUCCAGCCAAUCAAGACAAUGCAUUUGGUCUGCAGUGUCAGCUCUUGCAGGCCUCCUUUACCUUCUGACAAGCUGUUGACAGCUCCCUGCUCUGAGAAGAAUGAACUGACACCUUGUAUCCUUGCUAAUCCCGUCAAAAUUGAUAUUGUAUCAAUUCGUUUCCAAAAUGAGCUGCCUCUGUUUUAAAGGGCU